CACUUUCUGUCUUUGCUUUCUGUUUUGUAAAGGAAAUCUGAUUUACUUCAUGGAAAAGUUGUGAGGGUCACACAGGGAGCUUAGGUGACGUGCGUGGCUUAGCGUACUUCCUGCUCCUUGCAGCCCCUUCCUUCCUGCUCGUCCCUCCCCAUAGUGUCCACUCUCAGAUCCCGGGGCUGGGGGUGGGGAAGUGAGCCCCAGAAGGUCUGUGACAUUGGUCCUCAGUGCAGUGGGAAUUG
Molecule: long non-coding RNA, 239 nt
Filed under: Bos taurus (domestic cattle)
Lineage: Eukaryota; Metazoa; Chordata; Mammalia; Artiodactyla; Bovidae
Description: long non-coding RNA NONBTAT015620
Source: RNAcentral